AAUCGUUAUCCAGUUCAAGGUGAACCAACCCGUUGCACUCGUACAGCUAGGUUCAAACCUACGCAAAGGAAUUUCCCCCGCAUCCACCAUAAUCCAUGGUAACGGCGUAAGGGCCACAGUGCACAGGUAACUUGUUGUAGAAGCUUGCCUCCUCCUCCUUUGCAGCAUACUUCUAAAAGUAAAGCACAAUAUUGAACAUCGAGUUCGCGAAAGACAUAAUCACCUGAUAGUCAAUCGUCGGUAAACACGAUCAUUUACUAACCUUAUUCUUUUCUUCACAUUUGGAUUUGUGAUCGGCGAUCCAUCAAAGGGGAUUUGGAGUUCAUCGGGCUGCCAAGUUGUCAACGACCUGUGGCGUCGAAUUACCUGUACUUUCAAACUUGGAAACAGAUCGUUGUUCUGUGAAAAGCAGUGGGAAUUUCUCGUUCGAAAACUAGAUUUUCAUUUUCAAGCUUCCUGUCGGAAAUAUCGGGCGUUUUUAAUAUAUUUUGUAUCGUUGAAUGACGCAGAAGAAUGUGGUUGAACUUCCCUGUGGUUUCACAUUACUAGUAUCGCAACCACUAAUCGACCAUUAAACAUUCUUUUCGAUACUGUCUCAAAACUGCUGCUGGCUGUGGUGUAUAUAGGCGUCGCAUCUUGAGCCUGAGGUGAACGCAUUGUUUGAACUUUAAUUUGUUUCUUAAUUAUAUCGCUUUGAACAAUAAUUUAUCGACAGACUAUCAACGUCUCUUGGAUUAUACAGACGAUCCGGUUUGGUAAUUUUUUAAACGCUAAAGUGAAGGAAAAUUAUCUUGACGUUAAAACUCUCGAUCCUGAUCAUGGCGUUGAAUGGAGUAAUGUGUCAAUUAUGCUUCAAACUGUCUGUCAUCAUUAUUCUGUUCACUUUCUUUUUUACCACGAUAGAAGGGGAGAAGGUAGUUCAACAGCGAGCUGGAGAAUGCGUCACUUGCGAUGAAAACGCAGUCUGGAUGGAAAAGAUCAAAUCGAUGGAGAGAAGAGCCAACUUCCUUGAAAGAAGGCACACCCGAAUGGACAACUCGCUAACCGACCUUGAGGAAUGUGACUGCGAGAGAUGACGAACAUGAGGAACAUCCGACAUCGCAACAGCCUCAUUUUUAUUCCAUGAUCGACAGCUCCACGUCAACCAUCAAAUGUUGCACACAUCGUCGUAUCCGUCUACGUCUAUUAUGCUGCCGUCUGCAUGGGUCCUUUGAUUUUCUUUCCAAAAGUCAAGUUCAUGACAUUAUAUCUUGUAUUAAAAUUAUGUUGGCAGGGUCAACCCAGUAGAUCGAUAACUCAAGAGACCGACAUUGGCAAUAGGUUCACUAGACCGAUACCCGACGAGA
Strongylocentrotus purpuratus (purple sea urchin) is the source of this 1346-nucleotide long non-coding RNA. RefSeq lists it as uncharacterized. Lineage: Eukaryota; Metazoa; Echinodermata; Echinoidea; Camarodonta; Strongylocentrotidae. The record is from RefSeq and is a predicted model, not a curated record. The transcript is spliced from 3 exons.